Small nucleolar RNA from Apodemus sylvaticus (European woodmouse), 132 nucleotides. RefSeq annotates it as small nucleolar RNA SNORA17. The transcript has a single exon. The record is from RefSeq and is a predicted model, not a curated record. NCBI's taxonomy places the organism in Eukaryota, Metazoa, Chordata, Mammalia, Rodentia, Muridae.
CCUUCUUCCAGAGGCUUUGCAGGUGUGGCUGCUCUAUCACAUGUGCUCCAGUAGGUAGCAUUUAAAAGAGAGCCUAUAUCUAUGUUCAGUGUUCUGACCUAUGAACAUCUGAAUGAACAGUAGUCUAGCAUU